UACAGAGGGUGCGAGCGUUAAUCGGAAUUACUGGGCGUAAAGCGUGCGUAGACGGUUAUUUAAGUCGGAUGUGAAAGCCCCGGGCUCAACCUGGGAAUUGCAUUCGAGACUGCAUAGCUAGGGUGCGGAAGAGGGAAGCGGAAUUUCCGGUGUAGCGGUGAAAUGCGUAGAUAUCGGAAGGAACAUCAGUGGCGAAAGCGGCUUCCUGGUCCAGCACCGACGUUCAGGCACGAAAGCGUGGGGAGCAAACAGG
Molecule: ribosomal RNA, 253 nt
Filed under: uncultured bacterium
Lineage: Bacteria
Description: partial 16S ribosomal RNA
Rfam family: Bacterial small subunit ribosomal RNA
Source: RNAcentral